GCAAACCUACGGACGCAGCAGGGAAUAUUGCGCAAUGGGGGAAACCCUGACGCAGCAACGCCGCGUGCGGGAUGACGGCCUUCGGGUUGUAAACCGCUUUCAGCAGGGAAGAACAUCGACGGUACCUGCAGAAGAAGCCCCGGCUAACUACGUGCCAGCAGCCGCGGUAAUACGUAGGGGGCGAGCGUUAUCCGGAUUCAUUGGGCGUAAAGCGCGCGUAGGCGGGUGCCUAAGCGGGACCUCUAACCUCGGGGCUCAACCCCGAGCCGGGUCCCGAACUGGGCGUCUCGAG
RNAcentral lists this ribosomal RNA (292 nucleotides) under uncultured bacterium. RNAcentral's name for it is "partial 16S ribosomal RNA". It matches the Rfam family "Bacterial small subunit ribosomal RNA", at positions 337 to 646 of the family's 1533-position model. The record is from RNAcentral.